This 490-nucleotide ribosomal RNA is filed under the name uncultured bacterium. RNAcentral's name for it is "partial 16S ribosomal RNA". It matches the Rfam family "Bacterial small subunit ribosomal RNA", at positions 30 to 507 of the family's 1533-position model. The record is from RNAcentral.
AUUGAACGCUGGCGGCAGGCCUAACACAUGCAAGUCGAACGGUAACAGGAAGCAGCUUGCUGCUUCGCUGACGAGUGGCGGACGGGUGAGUAAUGUCUGGGAAGCUGCCUGAUGGAGGGGGAUAACUACUGGAAACGGUAGCUAAUACCGCAUAACGUCGCAAGACCAAAGAGGGGGACCUUAGGGCCUCUUGCCAUCGGAUGUGCCCAGAUGGGAUUAGCUAGUAGGUGGGGUAACGGCUCACCUAGGCGACGAUCCCUAGCUGGUCUGAGAGGAUGACCAGCCACACUGGAACUGAGACACGGUCCAGACUCCUACGGGAGGCAGCAGUGGGGAAUAUUGCACAAUGGGCGCAAGCCUGAUGCAGCCAUGCCGCGUGUAUGAAGAAGGCCUUCGGGUUGUAAAGUACUUUCAGCGGGGAGGAAGGGAGUAAAGUUAAUACCUUUGCUCAUUGACGUUACCCGCAGAAGAAGCACCGGCUAACUCCGUG